UGGGGAAUUUUGGACAAUGGGCGCAAGCCUGAUCCAGCAAUGCCGCGUGCAGGAUGAAGGCCUUCGGGUUGUAAACUGCUUUUGUACGGAACGAAAAGCCUCUCUCUAAUACAGGGGGGUGAUGACGGUACCGUAAGAAUAAGCAUCGGCUAACUACGUGCCAGCAGCCGCGGUAAUACGUAGGGUGCAAGCGUUAAUCGGAAUUACUGGGCGUAAAGCGUGCGCAGGCGGUUUUGUAAGACAGUGGUGAAAUCCCCGGGCUCAACCUGGGAACUGCCAUUGUGACUGCAAGGCUGGAGUGCGGCAGAGGGGGAUGGAAUUCCGCGUGUAGCAGUAAAAUGCGUAGAUAUGCGGAGGAACACCGAUGGCGAAGGCAAUCCCCUGGGCCUGCACUGACGCUCAUGCACGAAAGCGUGGGGAGCAAACAGGAUUAGAUACCCUGGUAGUCCACGCCCUAAACGAUGUCAACUGGUUGUUGGGGGAUUUAUUUCUUCAGUAACGAAGCUAACGCGUGAAGUUGACCGCCUGGGGGAGUACGGCC
RNAcentral lists this ribosomal RNA (541 nucleotides) under uncultured bacterium. Its description in RNAcentral is "partial 16S ribosomal RNA". It matches the Rfam family "Bacterial small subunit ribosomal RNA", at positions 355 to 887 of the family's 1533-position model. The record is from RNAcentral.